AAAUUUUGCAGUGAAAAUGGAUUGUAUAGAU
RNAcentral lists this non-coding RNA (31 nucleotides) under Trypanosoma brucei brucei. The record is from RNAcentral. Lineage: Eukaryota; Euglenozoa; Kinetoplastea; Trypanosomatida; Trypanosomatidae.